Molecule: RNA transcript, 3075 nt
Organism: Aedes aegypti (yellow fever mosquito)
Lineage: Eukaryota; Metazoa; Arthropoda; Insecta; Diptera; Culicidae
Gene name: chromatin target of PRMT1 protein
Exons: 5
Source: RefSeq, a predicted model, not a curated record
GAUUGCAAUAAGCUUUUCGAAAUAUGCAUGGUUCGAACUUGCAUGCAAGAAGCGGAAAGCAUCUGCUCUACUGAGAGCCCCCAUCUCUUGCUACGCCCAGUUUGCUCGUGCGGUCCGAUUGCUCGCGCAUUUAACUUGGCUUGGUCCUCCUGCUUCGUUCUCCGUCUACUCGACGUUGAUUUUCUUCCACUUCGACACAAAGUUCCCGAACGGCAACAAGAACGGACGUGCUUAUUCCCGGUUGCUACGAAUUUUUUUUUUGCAUUAUCCCGUUCAGCAUCAAGAGAAGACAGAAGUGAGUGAAAAGUGGUAAAAAGGCGUGCGCGUGUGAAAAGAAAAGUGAUUGCUUCCGAAAAAGGAAGAGUUUGGAUUCGAUUUCCAUCAGCAGGAUUAAUUUGCUUCAGGUUUCCUGAUUUAUUGCGGAGUAAAAGUUUUUCCCGACAGCGCAAUUGGUGUGAAAAGACUCCGCCAUCUUUGAAUUGAUUGUUUUGUGUUUGGAAAGCGCGAUUUGUUGGGCGACGAAAAUCGGCUUUUGAUCAGGAAACUGAUUUCGGGACAGAGAGCAGAUUUCUCACAAUGAUGAGUUCGAUCAACAAGAUUCACUUCAACGGUUCGACGGGUGUUUCGCUGAACGACCGGUUCACGAUCAUGUCCAAAAUGAGUCCCCAGGAGAAAGCGAAUUCUGGCCGCGAACGGAACGGCGUUGGCGGAGGAGGUGGCAUUCUGCGGAAGCGCUCAAAUUCGAUGGAUUCCUACGCGUCUCGGAAUUCCUACGCCAACCGGCAGCUCGUCAAUCAGCUGGACCGGCGCCACCUUGGACAGUCACAGGCCACGGCCCUGCGGUUGAGAAAUAAAACGAUCCGCUCCGGGCGGCAAAGGCUCAAUCGAACGAGUUUGGCAUCGCGGACCCAAUUGAGACGGGCGGCAGGCACCACAUUAUCCCUGGCGGGCGGAUCCCGACGGCUGCAGCGAUCGAACAGUUUCUCAGACAUUGCUACAAUGAACGCAGACUUCGUCGAACGUCAAUCGCUGCGUCGGUCCAACUCUCAGCUUAGCAUUGCGUCCCGCCUUGGAAAUGCCGGACGUUCUCGAGGUGUCCCUCGGCGUCCCCUGCAGCGUACCAAUUCAAGCGCCAGCCUAUCCGGAGCCCGGUCUCCAUACCGUGGACGAUCUCGUUCCCGCUCUCGGUCCCGUGCCCGUUUGCCUCGCUCCCAAUCUCGUGGUAAUCUCUCUCGCACCAGAUCUCGCAGUGCCGGCCUCAAUGGCAUUGGCCAGAACAACAACAACAACAACAUAGAGAACCGCCUAGGCCGAGUAGCAGGUAACAACCGCCUUAGGGGACGCUCCAAUGUCCGCCGUGGCCGCGGAAGGGCACCAAAUACGCUGCCCCGAUCCGCAUCGCGAACAAAUGUGCGCUCUGGAAGCGUCAAUGGCCGCCUCGGUGGAAACCGAACCAACCGAACGCUGGGCACCCGUGGAGGACGCGGACGUGUUGCCAAGCGUGGCCAACGGCGAGGACCAGCAGGAUCCGGUCAGAAUGGUACCGGCGGCGGAAGACCCGGACGUACCCUGCAGAGGUAAUAAUCCGAUGGCUUAUUGUAAUAUGGAAGGGAUGGAAUUUACUUGAAUUCGUUGAAAAUGAUGAUGGAGCGAUCUACCCGUGGACUUUGUCAGUGUAGUCACAGCAACACUUCGUGCCGGACGAUCCUCUUAGAAACCGUGUUGAUUAUUCAGCCUUAACUUUUGAGAUUCGUUCCUUGGAGGAUAUCGAAGAGAAGGAACAGAAAAAAAUACGUUCAGUCCAAUAACAGCAAUCCAUAAUCACUGGCCAACGAUAGCUAAUAAGACACAGGAUGCAAAGAGUGUGGUGCUCUUUUCCCAACAUUGACAGGCAAAUGGACGAUAACAACCGCUCGCCAAUCUUAGAAGCCUUACCACGAUUAAAUCGUCCACAGGAACUUGAAUUUGAAUAGCUUAUCUAUCGAUGCCUCGCACCGAAGACAUGUGCCGAAUUUCUCUAACCAAUCCAACUGGCGCCGACUAAAGUAAUCCGUUCCGAGGAGUUUCCAAGCCUGGCCAGCUCCAUUGAGUCAUCCAACCACUAGGUCACUGAUUAUAACUGAUGGUGUAGUCAUUUGGUUCUAUCCUAUCUUGAUCCUAUCGCUCAAAGACACAAAUACUCUUGUUUAGUGACGCGUUCUGUGCGAAACCCCCUUCCACAACAAGAACAGCCAAGCGCGCUCGUUAGACGAGCGAUUUUCUUGUAGUUGCAGCUGCCUGGCAUCAGCCUGUGCUCGAUGCCAUCCAGGUUUGUUCCCAGUGUCAACGCGACAGACAGAUGGAAGUCCAAAGCUCAAAUCUCCCCACUUCUCCUGGCGAAGGCGGCGUUAAUCGCUGAUAAUGACGGACGACGACUGCGCGGAAUGAUUAUGGUAACACAGAAUUACGGGUUAUGAGUUUUUUCUCGCUGGGUAUAUCAUGCUCAAGACGCUGAUCGAGUUUUCGAUGAUGGUGGAAACGACUUAGUUGGGAUUGGGCCCACGAUUUCCACAACCCUACUUUGAAGGCUUAGACCUUUGCACUAGACUAAGGAAGGCCCCAGAUACAUACAUCAUCAUCGUAUAUAUAAAAUCCCAGAGUUGUCUGUCAGUCACGCUUUGAAAUGUUUCACUGAGCACUACGACAUAAAUUUUUACAACAGUAAUGUUAAUCUCCAUACUGUGUCAAUCAAUAUCAUAUUUACUUGACAAGAGGUAUUCAUAGGAAACCUUGUUGAUAAUGUUUAUAAAGGAAACCAUUUUAAGUCCAGUUUCAUUACCCCGUUUUGGUUAAAACAUCCAUUAUAUGAAAAAUCGAAUAACACUUUUAGUAAAAUGGAACAUAUAAAGUUACAGUAUUCUGAACGUAUAGGGGUCAUUAUGAAUUUUGUUACGUAGCUCUGGUAUUUAAUUCUCGAGUGCAAAUAUUUUUAGAAAGUAUUGUUUUGUGGCACCAAAAUGGAAAUUUGGAGGAUACUCUCAUCAUGAGAAAAAAAAAACACAACUCUUUCGUAAAUGUAAAUCUCGAAGACUUGUU